UACAUAAAAAUCUUAUGAGGAUUUUUCUGU
Molecule: non-coding RNA, 30 nt
Filed under: Rattus norvegicus (Norway rat)
Lineage: Eukaryota; Metazoa; Chordata; Mammalia; Rodentia; Muridae
Source: RNAcentral